AACGAACGCUGGCGGCAUGCCUAACACAUGCAAGUCGAACGAGACCUUCGGGUCUAGUGGCGCACGGGUGCGUAACGCGUGGGAAUCUGCCCUUCGGUUCGGAAUAACUCAGGGAAACUUGAGCUAAUACCGGAUGAUGUCUUCGGACCAAAGAUUUAUCGCCGAAGGAUGAGCCCGCGUCGGAUUAGCUAGUUGGUGAGGUAAAGGCUCACCAAGGCGACGAUCCGUAGCUGGUCUGAGAGGAUGAUCAGCCACACUGGGACUGAGACACGGCCCAGACUCCUACGGGAGGCAGCAGUGGGGAAUAUUGGACAAUGGGCGAAAGCCUGAUCCAGCAAUGCCGCGUGAGUGAUGAAGGCCUUAGGGUUGUAAAGCUCUUUUACCCGGGAUGAUAAUGACAGUACCGGGAGAAUAAGCCCCGGCUAACUCCGUGCCAGCAGCCGCGGUAAUACGGAGGGGCUAGCGUUGUUCGGAAUUACUGGGCGUAAAGCGCGCGUA
Molecule: ribosomal RNA, 498 nt
Filed under: uncultured bacterium
Lineage: Bacteria
Description: bacterial SSU rRNA
Rfam family: Bacterial small subunit ribosomal RNA
Source: RNAcentral